RNAcentral lists this ribosomal RNA (836 nucleotides) under Haplomacrobiotus utahensis. Its description in RNAcentral is "SSU rRNA". It matches the Rfam family "Eukaryotic small subunit ribosomal RNA", at positions 69 to 909 of the family's 1831-position model. Lineage: Eukaryota; Metazoa; Tardigrada; Eutardigrada; Parachela; Hexapodibiidae. The record is from RNAcentral.
GCUUUUACAAGGCGAAACCGCGAAUGGCUCAUUAAAUCAGUUAUGGUUCACUAGAUCGUAUGAAUUACAUGGAUAACUGUGGUAAUUCUAGAGCUAAUACAUGCAUCAAGCCCGGCUGUCUCGUACAGCGGGCGCAGUUAUUAGAACAAAAUCAAUCCGGCCUCGGUCGGUUGAUUGGUGACUCUGAAUAACCGAAGCGGAGCGCUAAGGUCUCGUACCGGCGCCAGAUCUUUCAAGUGUCUGACUUAUCAGCUUGUUGCGAGGUUAUGUUCCUCGCAUGGCUGUUACGGGUGACGGGGAAUCAGGGUCCGAUUCCGGAGAGGGAGCCUGAGAAACGGCUACCACAUCCAAGGAAGGCAGCAGGCGCGCAAAUUACCCACUCCCGGCACGGGGAGGUAGUGACGAAAAAUAACGAUGCGAGAGCUUUUAGCUUUUCGUAAUCGGAAUGGGUACACUUUAAAUCCUUUAACGAGGAUCUAUUGGAGGGCAAGUCUGGUGCCAGCAGCCGCGGUAAUUCCAGCUCCAAUAGCGUAUAUUAAAGUUGCUGCGGUUAAAAAGCUCGUAGUUGGAUCCGGGUAGUCGACGCGCGGUUGGCCUCAAGGCUUUACUGCGUGCUCGGCGCCACUAUCCGGCAUGUCUUGCAUGCUCUUUACUGAGUGUGCUUGGCGGCCGGAACGUUUACUUUGAAAAAAUUAGAGUGCUUAAAGCAGGCAUACAGCCUUGCAUAAUGGUGCAUGGAAUAAUGGAAUAGGACAUCGGUCCUAUUUUGUUGGUUUUCGGGGCUCGAUGUAAUGAUUAAGAGGAACAGACGGGGACAUUCGUAUUGCGGCGUUAGA